GCCAGGCGUGGCGGCGCACGCCUGUAAUCCCAGCUACUCAGGAGGCUGAGACAGGAGAAUCACUUGAACCCGGGAGGCAGAGGUUGCAGUGAGCUGAGAUCAUGCCACUGCAUUCCAGCCUGGGCGACAGAGUGAGACUUUGUCUCAA
This 148-nucleotide non-coding RNA is filed under the name Homo sapiens (human). Lineage: Eukaryota; Metazoa; Chordata; Mammalia; Primates; Hominidae. The record is from Rfam by way of RNAcentral.